CUGAAAGAGGCUGGCUUGGGGCCGUGGUGAAACUGCCUCCUCACCAUCCGUCCUGCCUCCCUGGUGCCCCCAGAGCCUUCUGAUGAAGAUUGACGCCUUCCACUACGUGCAGCUGGGGACAGCCUACAGGGGCCUCCAGCCUGUGCCAGACGAGGAGGUGAUUGAGCUGUAUGGGGGUACCCAGCACAUCCCACUAUACCAGAUGAGUGGCUUCUAUGGCAAGGGUCCCUCCAUUAAGCAGUUCAUGGACAUCUUCUCGCUACCGGAGAUGGCUCUGCUGUCCUGUGUGGUGGACUACUUUCUGGGCCACAGCCUGGAGUUUGACCAAGCACAUCUCUACAAGGACGUGACGGACGCCAUCCGAGACGUGCAUGUGAAGGGCCUCAUGUACCAGUGGAUCGAGCAGGACAUGGGUAAGU
Molecule: small RNA, 419 nt
Filed under: Pan troglodytes (chimpanzee)
Lineage: Eukaryota; Metazoa; Chordata; Mammalia; Primates; Hominidae
Description: retained intron
Source: RNAcentral